Molecule: long non-coding RNA, 494 nt
Filed under: Brassica napus (rape)
Lineage: Eukaryota; Viridiplantae; Streptophyta; Magnoliopsida; Brassicales; Brassicaceae
Description: long non-coding RNA (BNAP_LNC013325)
Source: RNAcentral
GACAGACAAAAAGGCGGCAACAACAUCUCCACUUGCUCACUCCUCUUGCUAUAAAAAUAGCUUACAUGUCCAAUGUUAACAGGUCAAUAUUAUUGUCUUCUUAUGAGAAAUACAUAAAUUCGUUUAAAACCUAUUAAUGCCCAAAUACUCAGAACUGUCACUCAUUUUAUAGUUAUUUCUACAAGUCUUCAUGUAUUUGUUUUAAAGGUCCGGUAAGAGCAACAAGUUUAGAAAUAAAAAAGAAACAUAUAACAAACAUAAUAAGGAUAGUAAAAAUUAUUACUUAAUACACAAAACUUACACAACUAAACUAUAGAAAAAAUAUUCAGAAAGAAAAGGUACUCUCACUCUUAAUAGUACAAGAAACAAAUUAAAAAGACAAACAAACAAUAAGUCUCAGUGACACUGCAAACAACACCACGAACUAUAUCAAUCACAUUACUAACACAGUUUAGUACUUCAUAAGUGGAGAAUAAUGCAUACACAAUUCAUCA